UUGCUCUCGUCUUCCCCGGUUCAGGUCUACUUCACUGCCACCUCCUUCCUCCCUCCCGAGCCGCCUCCCCACCAUCCUGCUGGCGAUCGCGCCCUCGGCGGCGACGGCAAAACCGCACGGUGGAUGCGGCGAAUGAUGAUCCCUAGAGAGCUGCGGCGGCAGGAGCUCCCGCCCGACUCCUGAUCCCGACCCCACCGCCGAUCGCAGCCGCAAUGGCCCAGGUUAGUUGGUUGCCUCGGAUUCGGGUAGGUGUCAACUUCUCGGAUUUGAGUGGAUAAUAAUAUUGUUUGCUGCUCGAUUGGGUUCGUCGGGUGUCAUCAUAUUCCCGCUGAUUGUUUGCUGCUAUGCAAUGGCACCAUGGUCGGGUUCGUCGCCUAUCCCAAGGCCAACAGAAAGGCGUGCAAGAACUUCAACGAUUUUGACAUCUCCUACAAGGCCAAGCCGGGCGUGUUCCCCACUUUCUUGCUCGUCAACAGGGGAGUGGGAGGCCUGAUUAUUUAGAGAAUAUCACUAUUCCUUCAGCGUUGAUAACCAAAAGUUUUGGGGGCAUGCUCAAGAACGCAAUUGAUCAUGGUGACAUUGUUAAUACUUGAUAAGAAGGGCUAAACCUUUCCCUGCAUGUAGCAUAGCCCUGACAAGCUAAACCUUUCCUUAUUCUGUUCUUGCAACUUGCAACAGUGCACAGUGGCCAAAUUAUUUCUAUGCGGGGAUCUCUCAUUCAAUAAGGACCUUGGUGGCGUGCUCACUCCAACGAUCGGAAACGUGAAGCAGCUUACCACCUUGAUUUCGGCCGGUUGCAGUUUCCAUGGCACCAUCCCGGAUGAGCUGGGGAGUUUGCCAAAGUUAUCCUACAUGGCAUUGAACUCAAACCAGUUCUCUGGAAAAAUACCAGCUUCACUGGGAAAUCUCUUCAGCCUCUAUUGGUUUGAUAUUGCCGACAGUCAAAUAGUCAAUUUAGUGGUCCGUAGUGGUGUCUCAGUUACGAAUUCCGUGCUGCUGCAUUCAGAUUGGUUCCAAGGCAGACUUGCUUACACAGAAGUGUGACGCUCGGGUAGGAUGUAUCGUAGGACUUGGGGAUCACCGCUCCAUGAAUAUUCUCAUUGAUCAAGAUACGGCCGAGAUUGUACACAUUGAUCUUGGUGUUUCAUUUGAACAGGGUCUCAUGCUUAAAACUCAUGAACGGGUAUGCUAUCAAGCAUUAUAUUUUUCCUGAACUUUUGGGCUCUGGUUCCAUUUCAGCUGAUGUGGGACAUUAUAGAUGGCAUGGGUAUUACUGGCGUUCAAGAUGUGUUUAAAAGAUGUUGUGAGAAAACUCUUUCAUGAGAGAAAACUCUUUCUGUCACUAUUAUCUUAGUUUUCAUCCAUGAUCCUCUGUACAAAUGGCCCCUCUCAUCACUGAAAGCUUUACAACGUCAAAAGGUAACUAAAACUUAAAUAAAUUUCUAGAAUGUUGUUGGACUUGCUCCUACAGUCCUCCAGUUGUCCAGCACAGCUCAUAUAACUAGAAGUUACUGGUAUGAUCAGUAGCAGCCGGUAUUAGGGAUAUGUAUAUUUAAUUUUAUCAAACAUAGUCACAUUGCGCUAAAUUCCCUGACUUAUGUCUAAGUGUUUUUAUCAAGAUGAGAUCACCCAAAGGCUAAGAAAAAUCCAAAGACCUGAUGAAGAAAAGGAAGAAUGGAAGGAAACAGAUGAUACUGAUUCAUAUUUGGAUUACUCCCAAAAGGUUUGUGAGGGCAACAAAGAUGCAGCUGUGCUGUGCUCCGUGUUAAAUAGAAGUUGGAUGGAUAUGAAGGCUGUUCACCAAACUUUUUUCUAAGGAUAUUUGAAAUGUUCGGUACUCGCUAUUCUAAAACAGGUUCUGAUAGUACCCCAUGCGGACCGUCUGUCGACCACAGUCUAAUAGUACCCCAUGUUACGUAAUGUAACUAAGCUCUGUAUUAUGUGGACCGUCUAUCUACCACAGUUGCUACUAAUGUGGAUUUACCUGUACGCGCAAUUUACUUGAUAA
Molecule: RNA transcript, 2008 nt
Organism: Phragmites australis (common reed)
Lineage: Eukaryota; Viridiplantae; Streptophyta; Magnoliopsida; Poales; Poaceae
Exons: 8
Source: RefSeq, a predicted model, not a curated record